AAGUCGAACGGUGUCUUCGGACACAGUGGCGGACGGGUGAGUAACGCGUGUGAAUCUGCCUCUAGGUUGGGGACAACAGUUGGAAACGACUGCUAAUACCCGAUGUGCCGUAAGGUAAAAGAUUUAUUGCCUGGAGAGGAGCUCGCGUCUGAUUAGCUAGUUGGUGGGGUAAAAGCCCACCAAGGCAGCGAUCAGUAGCUGGUCUGAGAGGAUGAGCAGCCACACUGGGACUGAGACACGGCCCAGACUCCUACGGGAGGCAGCAGUGGGGAAUUUUCCGCAAUGGGCGAAAGCCUGACGGAGCAAUACCGCGUGAGGGAGGAAGGCCUUUGGGUUGUAAACCUCUUUUCUCAGGGAAGAAGAUCUGACGGUACCUGAGGAAUAAGCAUCGGCUAACUCCGUGCCAGCAGCCGCGGUAAUACGGAGGAUGCAAGCGUUAUCCGGAAUCAUUGGGCGUAAAGCGUCCGCAGGUGGUUUUUCAAGUCUGCUGUUAAAGACUGGAGCUCAACUCCGGAAAGGCAGUGGAAACUGGAAGACUAGAGUUCGGUAGGGGUAGCGGGAAUUCCCAGUGUAGCGGUGAAAUGCGUAGAUAUUGGGAAGAACAUCGGUGGCGAAGGCGCGCUACUGGACCGAAACUGACACUCAGGGACGAAAGCUAGGGGAGCGAAAGGGAUUAGAUACCCCUGUAGUCCUAGCUGUAAACGAUGGAAACUAGGUGUGGCUUGUAUCGACCCGAGCCGUGCCGUAGCUAACGCGUUAAGUUUCCCGCCUGGGGAGUACGCACGCAAGUGUGAAACUCAAAGGAAUUGACGGGGGCCCGCA
RNAcentral lists this ribosomal RNA (822 nucleotides) under uncultured Chroococcales cyanobacterium. RNAcentral describes it as "bacterial SSU rRNA". It matches the Rfam family "Bacterial small subunit ribosomal RNA", at positions 59 to 925 of the family's 1533-position model. The record is from RNAcentral. Lineage: Bacteria; Bacillati; Cyanobacteriota; Cyanophyceae; Chroococcales.